RNAcentral lists this unclassified non-coding RNA (2242 nucleotides) under Hevea brasiliensis (rubber tree). Lineage: Eukaryota; Viridiplantae; Streptophyta; Magnoliopsida; Malpighiales; Euphorbiaceae. The record is from RNAcentral.
CCACAGAUUUUUUAGCAUUUCCCUCCCAAUAAUCUUUCCCUCCUCCGAUUUAUUGCGUUUGAAGAACAACGCGCGAGAGAGAGGUCAGCGUAGUAUAUUCAUUCCAUUGAAACUGAUAGGUAUACUAAUUGAGCCUAGCACUGUUCCGUUCAAUCGCUGCCAUGGUGAACCCUUAUGACCACAGGUAUUCCGAUCCCGAUUCUUACCGUCACCGUCGCAGUGACCUGAUUGGCCCGCCUCCUCCGGUCGGGCCGCCGAUGGUGAGGGGACCUUAUGGGCGCGGUGGACCGGUGCCUUAUGGUGGUCCUUCACCACCGGCUUUUGCGGGAAGAGGUGGUCCCGGACCAGUAGGCGGUUAUCCACCAUUUGAGCCUCCAGUUGGUAGAUUCGAUAUUGGCCGAGGCGGUGGCACUGUCAGUGGGGGGAGGGGCUUCAGUGGUAGCCGUCUUCCCAGUGGUCAUAUUGGGGAUAGAAGGCCUGAUGCAGCUCGUUUUGGCAGUGGAAGGGGCCGUGAUGGUGGACGAGGCGGCGGACGUGGUGGUGGGCGUGGUGUUGGUGGAGGAAGGGGAUUUGAUGGAGGCCGUGGUGGUGGAAGAGGAGUUAGGCGUGCUGGGGGAGCUACUAAAGGAGACUUGGAUAAUAUUACUCUUCCGAAGCAGGAUUUUGGGAAUUUGGUGCCUUUUGAGAAGAAUUUCUACAUUGAGAGUCCUUCAGUACAGUCUAUGUCUGAAAAUGAAGCUAUGAUGUAUCGGGCAAGGAGGGAUAUUACUGUCGAAGGUCACGAUGUACCUAAGCCCAUUCGGAUGUUUCGAGAGGCUAAUUUUCCUGAUUAUUGCUUAGAGGUGAUUGCCAAGUUAGGUUUUGUUGAGCCAACACCAAUACAGGCACAAGGGUGGCCAAUGGCCCUUAAGGGUAGAGAUUUAAUUGGCAUUGCAGAAACGGGUUCUGGUAAGACUUUGGCAUACUUGCUGCCAGCAUUGGUGCAUGUCAGUGCACAACCUCGAUUGGUACAAGGUGAGGGACCAAUUGUGUUAGUAUUAGCUCCUACAAGAGAAUUGGCUGUUCAAAUCCAAGAAGAAGCUAUAAAGUUUGGUUCACAUGCUAAUAUUAGGAGUACUUGCAUAUAUGGUGGUGCUCCCAAAGGACCUCAAAUUCGUGAUCUUCAAAGAGGUGUUGAGAUUGUGAUUGCUACUCCUGGACGACUAAUAGAUAUGUUAGAAGCUCAACAUACAAACCUGCGAAGAGUCACCUACCUUGUGUUGGAUGAGGCUGAUCGGAUGUUGGACAUGGGAUUUGAGCCUCAGAUUCGGAAAAUUUUAUCUCAAAUCCGGCCAGAUAGACAGACUUUGUAUUGGAGUGCCACGUGGCCAAGGGAGGUUGAAACUUUAGCAAGACAGUUUCUGCGCAAUCCAUACAAGGUAAUCAUUGGCUCAGCCGAUUUGAAAGCAAAUCAAUCAAUAAACCAAGUUGUUGAAGUUUUGACAGAGGUGGAGAAGUACAACAGACUGAUCAAACUUCUAAAAGAAGUGAUGGAUGGGAGUCGAAUUCUAAUAUUCAUGGAGACCAAAAAAGGCUGUGACCAAGUUACGAGGCAGUUGAGAAUGGAUGGAUGGCCAGCCCUAUCCAUCCAUGGUGAUAAAAAUCAAGCUGAAAGGGAUUGGGUCCUAUCUGAGUUCAAAAGUGGCAGAAGUCCUAUAAUGACUGCCACUGAUGUUGCUGCACGGGGUCUUGAUGUGAAGGACAUAAAGUGUGUGAUCAACUAUGAUUUUCCUUCCAGCCUUGAGGAUUAUGUCCACAGGAUUGGUCGAACUGGUCGUGCAGGGGCUAGGGGAACUGCAUUUACCUUUUUCACCCAUGCAAAUGCAAAGUUUGCUCGGGAUCUUAUCAAGAUUUUACAGGAAGCAAGGCAGAUUGUCUCUCCAGCAUUGUCUGCUUUGGCUCGGUCAGGUGGCGCUCUAGGAGGUUCUGGGGGUAACUUCCGUUCUAGAGGAGGACGAGGAGGCUUUGGCAAUCGUGCAUUAAUUUCAGGAUCUAAUACUGUGCCUCUUGGUGUAAAGAGGCCUUGGUAGUGUUAUAUCAGGAUCUAAUUCUGUGCCUCUUGGGGCAAAGUGGCGUUGGUAGUGUUAUAUUGUAGCUGCCACAUUCAAGGAACAAGCUUAGGGUUGCAUGUAUAAAGCUACUAAUAUGGUGUAUGCCGUCUGAAUAUUAGUUUUUCAUUCUGAUAUCAGGCCAUAUUAUAAAU